AUUGAACGCUGGCGGCAUGCUUUACACAUGCAAGUCGAACGGUAACAGGCCUUCGGGUGCUGACGAGUGGCGAACGGGUGAGUAAUGCAUCGGAACGUGCCCAGAGGUGGGGGAUAACGCAGCGAAAGCUGUGCUAAUACCGCAUGUGAUCUGAGGAUGAAAGCGGGGGACCAAGCAGCAAUGUUUGGCCUCGCGCCUCUGGAGCGGCCGAUGUCAGAUUAGGUAGUUGGUGGGGUAAAGGCCUACCAAGCCGACGAUCUGUAGCUGGUCUGAGAGGACGACCAGCCACACUGGGACUGAGACACGGCCCAGACUCCUACGGGAGGCAGCAGUGGGGAAUUUUGGACAAUGGGCGGAAGCCUGAUCCAGCAAUGCCGCGUGCGGGAAGAAGGCCUUCGGGUUGUAAACCGCUUUUGUACGGAACGAAAAGGCUCUGGCUAAUACCUGGGGCUGAUGACGGUACCGGAAGAAUAAGCACCGGCUAACUACGUG
Molecule: ribosomal RNA, 492 nt
Filed under: uncultured bacterium
Lineage: Bacteria
Description: partial 16S ribosomal RNA
Rfam family: Bacterial small subunit ribosomal RNA
Source: RNAcentral